GGUACAUCGAAGUGAUUUAAAAAAAGAACACUUAAUUGUUUGACACAAAACAAUACCGGCCAUUUUAGAAAACAGAGGAUAUAAAUCACCCGGAUAAACUUUAAUGAUUCGUCUUUUUUAGUCGUUUUUGAAGCUAUGAGUUGUUGGUGCUUCGAAUGUAAUUUCGAUAGAAUCUUUUGUAUAAAACAUAUUUGGCGAGCUGACACCUAAAGGUCGCUUGGCGUACAAACGAUUAAAAAAAAUAUUUUCAAAAUAGCUAGUUUCUGAAGCCGCGAUUACGGUGAGGUGUACUGGAUAAACGUGAUUACCAGAAAUCACACUUCUGCUACAUGCAAACAAUUUCGUUAACCCGUCUAUUUUUGUUCAGAUACAGUCACUAAGAAACCAAUUAAUAAUUAUAUGAACGUUGUUGCUUUCAACAUGAUGCAACCGACAAGCACUUUUCGUUCGCACAAAUAGAUCAUAGGUUUGUUUAGACUGAGAAUGCAAAAGCAAACAGAGGGAGUAAGGGGUAGCGUAAGACAAUGUAAAGCCUCAAGCCUAUCUGUCAGUGAUUCUCUAUCGGUUGUUUUGAGCGCAAUUGUUGUAGCGGUGACGGGGUCGCGCGAAACUGUCACCGAUCGCCAACAGCGCGAUAACACCGCAGCAGAGGGCUCUGCGGCGCUUUUAGACACUGCGAUCAAUACAAUGCUUGGCUCGACGGUCAACGUGUCCAAACAACUGUGUAGAAAAAGGCCUUAAAUGAUUGGCCGAUUAAUCUAAGCCGGCCCCUAGUCAGUUUGCCUAGGAGCUAGGGCCUGUUUUUUUGUGCUCUAAUUUUCGUGUUGACAACCCGCAACUGCCGUCGGGAAGUUCAAUAAUAAUCAUCAUCAUCAUCAUCAGACUGUGUCAAUCCUUAUUGUUUUGUAUCUAUAGUACAUUCAUAUAACAGAUAAUUGAUUCUGAACUGGUGGAGAACGUAGGGGAAAUCGAUCGACGAAAGCAAGUUUUAAAGGUCACCCACGAUUUGAUCGAUACGAUGGAUACAAAUGAUAUAUUUCACAGUGAUUACGUGCUCAAGCGAGCGUUUGUCUGUUUCCGUACAUCGUAGCAUCAAGGGACGCUAAAAACAACAGCUGAAGUGGCAAAGGCCACGAAACAACUACAACGGCAACCACUGGAAGACGCGAAACGCGAACAAGUAACUGCGUCCGCUGCUGCGCUGUCGGCAUGUGCCUAAACCUGGUCACUUUUUAAUUAUUCAGUUACGUCGCGUAUCGUAAAAUUGCACACCAGAACAAAACGAGCGAUGGCUCCCCGGGAGGCCAUAGCACUAAACCGACUACCGUCCUCGAACUCGUCCAAAGCCUCUCAGCAGUCGCCCGAAUCAGCGGUCAGCGCCACAAACAAUGGCGGAGCUGGCGAAAGAAGUUCUACGCCGACAAAUCUACGCAGUGAGACUCAACUUCCAAUAUCAACCACUGUUGGCCAGCAUGAGGAAAGGUUUAGAGAUUGCUGUGCUAGUGGGGUAGGCGUAUCAGAUAGGGCGGUCGGAUUCGCCCUUUUUCUACUAUUUGUUACCACCGUUAUGUUUUAUGCCGCUUCUUCAAAAACUCUCUGGGAUCCCGCCAGGUGGAAAAGUUACAACACUGAAAAUUCGACAGAGGCCGACUUUACGCAAAAAGAAUCAUUUUUCUAUUAAUUACUCGACCUGGGCGCUGGUAGGUACACCGACCUUAAGCUUCAUUUUGUUUUACCAUUUACGCUGCUCCAUACGUACUUUGCUUUACGUAGCUUGUACAAAGAAACACAGCGUAUGUAAUUGUCAUAUCGCGUAGCAAAUGCGCCCCUCGACCGCUUUAUUUCUGCGUUUGUCGAUGGCGAUUUGUAUAUAGUGCCCAUCGCUAUUACAAAGUACAUGUGAUGUGGAUUCGUAGGAUAACGCAGGAGGCAAAAAGAACAGCGGCUUAGGGAAGGGCAGAAAGGACUAGAGAGAAUAGCAGAACUGAGGUUUAGUGGUUUGUUUUCUAAAAGCAGUUUUUUGAUAGCUAUCCACAAACGCGUUAUUCGGGUCCCACGCUUAAUGCCAGUGAAGAAGACAUGUGGACUCUGAGAAGGUACCAGCAGGCGUUAAUAAGCCCUCGGUAAAUCAUAGAUACAAUGGCAACAACAACAACAACAACAACGGAAAGAGAUAACCUUUUACGGGAUACGACCUCAUAGCCGAUACGCUAAAAGCUAUUUUUGACAUGACUUUUUCGCCUGCUAUUGCAGCCGUGUACAUAUAUAUACGUGAUUGUAGAUGUUUAUAUAAAGAUAGUGAGCAGGGCUUGUUGAAGCAGUGAGCAGAAGGAUCGGGGGAAAAUGAUAACAGUAGAAACGGUCAACGUUGCUGAUCUAUGUCUGUAUUACAGCCUGAUAUGGCUAUUUCAAACAUGUCAUAAUUUAAAACAAAAAAAUGAAGUGAUUCGUAAUGUUUAGGACAUAAAGAAAAACAAAAGAAAACACACGAAGGUGGCAAUUUCAAGAUUCAAGGCAUUAUGCUGAAAUCGUUUUGCAAUACGUUGGGCGCUAACCCAAUGUGUUCGUGAUUAUUUUUUUAAAUCAUUGAUUCGUAAAUACAUUCCAUGAAAAGGCUAGGCAUUACUAUUUCAGGUAGCGUGCUAUAGGUUCAGCCUAUUUAAUUAACGAAGGCUAAUAAAAAAUUCAAUUUCGAACCACUUGUUUUUAAUCAUUUUUUUCGCUUUAGCAGACACUAGGGAAUAAAAUUUUUGUAAGAAGACGAAUAUCAAAUCAAAUAAAAAUCAAAGAAAAAAAAACAGAACCCAAUACACCCGUUUGAACGUCUUUUCGUCCAGUAUAUUAAAUAUUUGAUGCGCUCCAUAUAGAAGUUUGUAGACGGCUUCUAAGGCAUUUAGCUCGCUGAUCUUACGAUCAGCGUGCCAUCAUAUACAACAGUUUCCCUUGCAAUUUCCUGUUUCAAGGUCGCCCAUAGUCCUUAAUGGAACCAAAUCGAUUUAUAACGCCAUAGUUCACGCAAAAGUUAUAUCUGACCUGCACUUACGUUAUUUGAAGUUCAAAAGCGACUGAACUCGGUGCAUCAGCCUUGUGAACCGGGAGAGACCCACGAUUACCGCCGAAAAGCUUAACACAAAACUAGAUACGCCCACAGACAAUUGGACAAUUACGCUGCUCGCUGCUUUCCUGGGUCUCUUAGUAACGAACAACAUCUCGCGCCCAGCCUUUAUCAGAUCUGUGAGCUCUUCGAUAGAUGAAAUUAAUAGAUGAAAUUUAUCGAAUUUAUAAGUUCGGCGACAAAUGUUUUACAACAAAAGAUAUUUUGGCCGAAAGCACAAGUUAAAAGGAGAGGGGCAGUCAUUCAUUACACGUUUGUGGGCACAGAUGUUAUCGUAAAUUCAAUCCGAAACCUUCGCGAGAGCGCAGGCUUAAUGUCUAAACAACUUAAACAAGAUAGAUUUCUUUUCAAAAAAUGUCUUUCCUUAUAAAUCUGAACAUCAAUCAUGGAAUUGCACAAUGAUUUGUCUAAUUAAAUCGCUACAUUAUAGAUCAAAGUAAAAAAGGCCGGCCUAUAACGAUCCUCAACGACUUAGACUACGGUACCGGGUUAGAGGGUUAGCAUUAGACGUUAGAGGCUAUGCGUAAACCUCGGCAGGGGACUCGCUUUUUUCGUCAAGCACAAAAAUGCUCGUAUCUGUGGCUGCACGACACACGUUCGCACUGCCUCCCCUGUAGACCCUGAACGUCCAAAGGAAUACGUCGAUAACACACUACAAUCCCGCAACAAGAUCCCCCAGAUGUGCUUGU
Molecule: long non-coding RNA, 3804 nt
Filed under: Varroa destructor (honeybee mite)
Lineage: Eukaryota; Metazoa; Arthropoda; Arachnida; Mesostigmata; Varroidae
Description: uncharacterized LOC111248365
Source: RNAcentral